RNAcentral lists this transfer RNA (64 nucleotides) under Enterococcus faecium. RNAcentral describes it as "tRNA-Met". It matches the Rfam family "tRNA", at positions 9 to 63 of the family's 71-position model. Rfam says of the family: Transfer RNA (tRNA) molecules are approximately 80 nucleotides in length. Their secondary structure includes four short double-helical elements and three loops (D, anti-codon, and T loops). Lineage: Bacteria; Bacillati; Bacillota; Bacilli; Lactobacillales; Enterococcaceae. The record is from RNAcentral.
AGCUCAGUUGGUUAGAGCAGACGGCUCAUAACCGUCCGGUCGUAGGUUCGAGUCCUACAAGGUA